This 468-nucleotide ribosomal RNA is filed under the name uncultured bacterium. Its description in RNAcentral is "partial 16S ribosomal RNA". It matches the Rfam family "Bacterial small subunit ribosomal RNA", at positions 28 to 507 of the family's 1533-position model. The record is from RNAcentral.
GACGAACGCUGGCGGCGUGCUUAACACAUGCAAGUCGAACGGAAAGGCCCUGCUUUUGUGGGGUGCUCGAGUGGCGAACGGGUGAGUAACACGUGAGUAACCUGCCCUUGACUUUGGGAUAACUUCAGGAAACUGGGGCUAAUACCGGAUAGGAGCUCCUGCUGCAUGGUGGGGGUUGGAAAGUUUCGGCGGUUGGGGAUGGACUCGCGGCUUAUCAGCUUGUUGGUGGGGUAGUGGCUUACCAAGGCUUUGACGGGUAGCCGGCCUGAGAGGGUGACCGGCCACAUUGGGCCUGAGAUACGGCCCAGACUCCUACGGGGGGCAGCAGUGGGGAAUAUUGCACAAUGGGCGGAAGCCUGAUGAAGAAACGCCGCGUGCGGGAUGACGGCCUUCGGGUUGUAAACCGCUUUCGCCUGUGACGAAGCGUGAGUGACGGUAAUGGGUAAAGAAGCACCGGCUAACUACGUG